This 72-nucleotide transfer RNA is filed under the name Equus caballus (horse). It matches the Rfam family "tRNA". Rfam says of the family: Transfer RNA (tRNA) molecules are approximately 80 nucleotides in length. Their secondary structure includes four short double-helical elements and three loops (D, anti-codon, and T loops). The record is from Rfam by way of RNAcentral. Lineage: Eukaryota; Metazoa; Chordata; Mammalia; Perissodactyla; Equidae.
GGUAGUAUAGCUUAGUAGUUAAGAGCAUGGACUCAGAAGCCAGACUGCCUGGCUUUGAUUCCCGUUCUACCA